This 527-nucleotide small RNA is filed under the name Histoplasma ohiense. RNAcentral's name for it is "hypothetical lncRNA". The record is from RNAcentral. Lineage: Eukaryota; Fungi; Ascomycota; Eurotiomycetes; Onygenales; Ajellomycetaceae.
CAGCAUUCUUGGAGGCCUUAAGCUACCUAAGCAGACGUAAUCUGGCGAGUCACUACCCAAUAUGAUUUAUUUUUUCUUUUGGUGAGAAGCUUCUAUACAUGAACUGCCAAGUUUUGACUCCCGAUAGUUAGGUUGCUACCGACCGUCUACCACUGUUUUAGUCAGGCAGGUGGUGACCGCACUCUUUUGUUGCAGAACAAUGUUGGCAGGGUUGUGGGCGGAACGAGAUUUUGUCGGCCAGCUUGAUCUGAGAUAGAAUACCUGGAACUGACAGAAACAUCCUGUCUUAGAGACUGGAUCCUCCAUGAACCUCUCCACUUCAUCCUAGUUGAAAAUCACAAUAUGUAUUUUUUAUCUCACUUCUGGCUUUAUGGCGAUGAUACGACUGUGGCUGAAGAUAAAUUUUUGCCUGUCUUUCAAUUGGUUUCAUCUUACGUUCGAUUAUCCCCUUCUUUGACACUCUCUACCUAGCAUUCUGCAGGGGAUCGUUAGGAGGGAGUAACACUUUAAUUAACCCCUUUCGUACC